Molecule: ribosomal RNA, 448 nt
Filed under: uncultured bacterium
Lineage: Bacteria
Description: bacterial SSU rRNA
Rfam family: Bacterial small subunit ribosomal RNA
Source: RNAcentral
UUCCAGACUCCUACGGGAGGCAGCAGUGGGGAAUAUUGGGCAAUGGGCGCAAGCCUGGCCCAGCAACGCCGCGUGAAGGAAGAAGGCUUUCGGGUUGUAAACUUCCUUUAUUCGGGACGAAGCAAGUGACGGUACCGAAUGAAUAAGCCACGGCUAACUACGUGCCAGCAGCCGCGGUAAUACGGAGGAUGCGAGCGUUAUCCGGAUUUAUUGGGUUUAAAGGGUGCGCAGGCGGCGUGUCAAGCAAGCGGUAAAAUAGCGGGGCUCAACCCCGUCGAGUCGUUUGAACUGGCGCGCUUGAGUUCAGGCGAGGUAGGCGGAAUUCGUGGUGUAGCGGUGAAAUGCAUAGAUAUCACGAAGAACUCCGAUUGCGAAGGCAGCUUACCAGUCUGCGACUGACGCUCAGGCACGAAAGUGUGGGUAUCGAACAGGAUUAGAUACCCCAGUA